AAAUUGUUUUGAUGGCUGCUGCUUUGUAAUAUAGUUUAAGGUCAGGGACUGCAAGGCCCCCAUCAUAUGUUUUUUUUUUUAUUAUUUCCCUGGAUAUCCUUGAUCUUUUGUUCUUCCAAAUGAACUUUGUUAUGGUUUUUUCUAAAUCAGUGAAGAAGUACUUUGGUAGUUCAAUGGGUAUGGCACUAAAUAGAUAAAUAAGUUUGGGUAGGAUGGUCAUUUUUAUUAUAUUGGCUCAUCGUAUCCAUGAGCAGUUAAUGUUUUUCCAAUUGCUCAAGUCUAGUUUUAGUUGUGUGGAGAGUGUUUUGUAGUUGUGUUCAUAUAGUUCCUGUGUUUGUCUUGGGAGUUGGAUUCCUACCUAUUUUAUUUUGUCUAAGGUGAUUUUGAAUGGGAUUUCUCUUUCUAGUUCUUGCUGCUGAGAUGUGUUGGAUAUAUAUAGAAAAGCUGAUGAUUUAUGUGGGUUUAUUUUGUAUCCUGCAACUUUGCUAAAGUUGUUGAUUAUUUCAAUUAGCUUUUUGGUUGAAUCUCUAGGAUUCUUUAAGUAGACCAUCAUAUCAUCUGCAAAGAGUGAUAACUUGGUCUGCUCCUUGCCUAUUUUGAUGCCUUCAAUUUCUUUUUCUUCUCUAAUUGCUACUGCUAGUGUUUCUAGUACAAUGUCAAAUAGUAGAGGUGAUAAUGGGCAUCCUUGUUUCACUCCUGAUCUUAUUGGGAAUGCAUCUAGUUUAUCCCCAUUGCAGAUGAUAUUAGCUGAUGGCUUUAGAUAUAUACUGUUUAUUAUUUUUAGGAAUGACCCUUCUAUUCCUAUGCUUUCUAGUGUUUUUAGUAGGAAUGGGUGUUGUAUUUUAUCAAAGGCUUUUUCUGCGUCUAUUGAGAUAAUCAUGUGGUUCUUGCUGGUUUUAGAUAUAUACUGUUUAUUAUUUUUAGGAACGACCCUUCUAUUCCUAUGCUUUCUAGUGUUUUUAAUAUGAAUGGGUGUUGUAUUUUAUCAAAGGCUUUUUCUGCGUCUAUUGAGAUAAUCAUGUGGUUCUUGUUGGUUUUAAAUAAGAGAUUUUUAAAGCUAUUAGCAAAGGUUAUGGCAUACAGUUGUUGCUUUAUAAGUGCUGCCCUUUA
This 1110-nucleotide long non-coding RNA is filed under the name Monodelphis domestica (gray short-tailed opossum). RNAcentral describes it as "lncRNA (ENSMODG00000037287.1)". The record is from RNAcentral. Lineage: Eukaryota; Metazoa; Chordata; Mammalia; Didelphimorphia; Didelphidae.